Molecule: unclassified non-coding RNA, 403 nt
Filed under: Hevea brasiliensis (rubber tree)
Lineage: Eukaryota; Viridiplantae; Streptophyta; Magnoliopsida; Malpighiales; Euphorbiaceae
Source: RNAcentral
GGUAGAGUAAGGGCUAGUCUUGCAGCUGUGUUCACUUUCACUUGCCGUGGCAUUCUGGGCUACUCCACCCAACUUCCACUCCCUCAGGGUUUUUUGGGAUCAGAGAUGGAUUUUCCAGUCGGAAAUGUAUCGUUCUUCUUGUUCUUCUCCGGUCACAUGGCCGGAUCGGUGAUAGCGUCGUUGGACAUGCGGCGGAUGCAACGGUGGGGGUUGGCUUGGACAUUCGACAUCCUCAACCUCCUCCAAGCCAUUAGAUUGUUGGGUACUAGAGGUCAUUACACUAUCGAUUUAGCCGUUGGCGUCGGGGCCGGAUUUCUUUUUGAUUCCCUUGCUGGACAUUAUGAAGCCAGCCUGAGGAAGAACCUUGACAAUCAGUUAGCUAAAACUUUUGCUUAGUUGCUUC